Molecule: ribosomal RNA, 541 nt
Filed under: Debaryomyces singareniensis
Lineage: Eukaryota; Fungi; Ascomycota; Pichiomycetes; Serinales; Debaryomycetaceae
Description: partial large subunit ribosomal RNA
Rfam family: Eukaryotic large subunit ribosomal RNA
Source: RNAcentral
CGGCAAAGCUCAAAUUUGAAAUCUGGCACCUUCGGUGUCCGAGUUGUAAUUUGUAGAAGGUAACUUUGGAAUUGGCUCUUGUCUAUGUUCCUUGGAACAGGACGUCACAGAGGGUGAGAAUCCCGUGCGAUGAGAUGUCCAAUUCUAUGUAAAGUGCUUUCGAAGAGUCGAGUUGUUUGGGAAUGCAGCUCUAAGUGGGUGGUAAAUUCCAUCUAAAGCUAAAUAUUGGCGAGAGACCGAUAGCGAACAAGUACAGUGAUGGAAAGAUGAAAAGAACUUUGAAAAGAGAGUGAAAAAGUACGUGAAAUUGUUGAAAGGGAAGGGCUUGAGAUCAGAUUGGUAUUUUGCGUUCCUUCCUCUCGUGGGUUGGUUCCUCGCAGUUUACCGGGCCAACAUCGGUUUGGAUGGUAGGAAAAUGACAGUUGAAUGUAGCACUACUUCGGUGGUGUAUUAUAGCUUCUGUUGAUACUGCCUGUCUAGACCGAGGACUGCGUCUUUGACUAGGAUGUUGGCAUAAUGAUCUUAAGUCGCCCGUCUUGAA